Molecule: non-coding RNA, 3688 nt
Organism: Macaca mulatta (Rhesus monkey)
Lineage: Eukaryota; Metazoa; Chordata; Mammalia; Primates; Cercopithecidae
Source: RefSeq, a predicted model, not a curated record
AACUCCUGGCCUCAAGCAAUCCUCCUACUUGGCCUCCCAAAAUGUUGGGAAUACAGGCAUGAGUCACUGCAUCUGGACUCCCUAUAAAUUUCUUUGGCCAGAAUUGGGUCACACACUCACUCCUGAACUGGAAAGGGAAAUGAAGUGACUAUGCAGGUCCUCUGGGGUGAAAACCAUGCUAGAGUGGAGGCUGCAAUGCCCACCACACGCAUCAGUGGCCAGCCUAUGGGUAGGUUGCGAUUAAGACAGGUGCCCUCUGCUGGUGCAUACAGGGAUUAUCCCCAGCCCCAAACCCACUGAGGCCAAAGGCAGAGAGCUUUGACCUGGCAUGGCAGGCGCCAGGACUGACACAUCUGUGCUCUCCUCAGGCGACAAUUUCUGUGGCCCUCAAGCUAUGCCUGGCCUCAGACUGAAGCAUCAGCUUCCAAAAUGAUGCAUUGUUCUCCCUGACUCCCACACGCUCUGGCUCACAGAGGAGCCAGCACCCCACCCCGGCGUUGGCCCCUGAAUCAGGGAAGGGAGACUCUGCCUGAGUCUGCUUUUGAUGGGGCUUUGCCAGCCCCGCAGGGCUCAUUUUCUCUGUCUCCUGCUAAAUUCCCUGGCUGCUCCUCCGCUGUCAGGUUGCCAAGCCCCGAGUGUCUCCUGGCUCCGUCUGCAGCAGGAAAUGGGCCUGACAAUUGCUCUUCCAGAGCCAGUGAUUUUUCAAUAUGUAGUUGCAUGGAUCCCACCCAUGCUUCAUCUCCAAAACCCCUGCUUGUGUUCAGCUCUGAUUUACUAAGCACGUACUACAGGCCUGGCUCUGUACUCAGCACUGCAGGUGUGGGGAGCAGUCAGGGCACAGAGGAGGCAUCUGAUGUGUUCUCCGCUUUCAGCCUCAUACUCCAGCCAUAGUUGACGGCCACACACUUGGAAGUGAGCUUCCUAGCCAAGGUGGCCCUGGCGGACUACAGGGCACACAAGUGGUCCAGAUUAAAAAACAAUACCGUGUGGGUUCAGAGAAGGGCAAGGUUGACACAGGCAGUACAUGUGCUGAUUAUUCUGUCUGCCUCCUACUCACCCCUGUGUCUACUCUUCCCUGCCAUGUGCCCUGGAUGCAAUGGCUGCAGGCUGCAGCAACAGGCCCUUUGCCCCAGCUUCCAGUGGACUUGCUGGUGGAGCGGCAGGCAGGAAGGCUCAGAGCAGAGGAAAAGUGAGGCCGGGAUUUAUUUUCCCUGCUUCCUCCCUGUUUUGCUGUGAUUCUGGCAUUGGCAGGUUCCUCCAGAGCUACAGCUCUGACAGGACAAGGGGAGCUGAUGGCUUCCUGCUAUUGCUGGUCCCUGUUUCCCUAUUGGGUUCCCUGAGCCUCCCCACUCUGGAAGCAGCCCCUUUUUUCUUCAGAGUUCUCGAGGCUGUUUGGAUGCUGACUGGCAGACCAUGUUUAGGAAGUGCUUCCUGCAAGAGCAGCACCUGCAUCUGGGCUCCUGAAAUGAGCUGAAGCUGGAUAAGCAGAGAAGAGGAAAAUGGGCUUUCUAGGGGCAGCACAGCCCCUUCAAUGUUCACGAAGAGAUGAAGUGAGCGCUGGAAGACACUGCCUAGGCAGGGAGGGAAGGUGGAAAACAAGCGAAGGCUCCCCGUGGAAGCCCUUGACUGCCAGGCCAGGGAACUUGGCCUUUGUCCCAUAGGCUACAUGGAGCUGCUGGAAGCAAAAGUUUUGACUUUGUUAUUAAUGGCUUUGUUUUGGUUUUUAUUUCUACCUUUUCCUUGUUAUUGAUUUUAUUAUCAUCAUUAAUAACAACUACUAUGUAUUUAAUCCUUACUGUUAGGGCUUGAUUGGGCCCCCUUUCAUUAGUAUGUUGAAGUCCUAACCCCCAGUCCCUCACGAGUGUGACCUUAACUGGAGACAGGGUCGUUAAAGAGUUAAAAUGAGGAUGGGCCCUAAUCCACUAUGACUGGUGUCCUUACAAGAAGGGGAAAUUUGGACAUGGAGACACACAUAGAGGGAAGAUGAUGCAAAGGGAGAGAAAGACGGCCACAUCCACAAGCCAAGGAGAGAGGCCUGGAACAGAUCCUGCCCUCACAGCCCUCAGAAGGAAACAACCCCCCAGCAGCUUGAUUUUGGACUCCCAGCCUCCAGAACCAUGAGACAACAAGACCAGACCAGGUUCACAGAGGUUUCCAGAGCGCAGUGACAGUGCCCACUCCUGGAAGAACACAAACCUGGGGAGAGAAUCCACCAAACUGUUUUAAUUUCAGAGACAGAUACUCAGCUACAAUGGAGGAUGAAAGCCAGACCCAUACUCAACUGGGCCUAGGAUUUCACUGAAACCAAGAGGAACCUGCAUCCAAACUGGAUUCUAGAAGAAAAAGAGAAGCUCAGUGAGGGCAGAGGCUGCAUCCAUCUUGUGUUCUCCUGUGUUGACAGCAUCCGGGACAUAGUAGGGGCUUAAUAAUUGUUUACUAAACAAAUGAAGGAAAGAAGUGCUCUUGUUGGUUCUCUGGUAAGUGGUGAUGAGAGAUGUCAUGGGAGGUACAGAAGUCAGGAUGUUCAAGGAGGGCCUAGUAGCAUUGUCAAGUGUUUGCCAGAUGGAAGAGGCAUUGCAGGUGUGUGAGCAGGGAUGUGAUUCUGAGGGUGAUGAGGGGAAGGGUGGGGAUACAUGUAGGCCACCUGGGGAGGUAAAAGGGGGCAACUGUUGUCCCUUUUUUGGGGGGAUGGAGGUAAAAGGGGGAAGCCAUUGUCCCUUUUUUGGGGGAUGGCCCCUCUCCUCGAUGGAUGGGACAAUGAGGUAAACUAUUAAAGGUCCAUGUGGACACAUCUACCCCUGGGGCACACCCAUCCAGGCUAAACAAAAUCAGCACAAGCUGAACAAUUAGAACUCAGAGAGUUACCUGUGGGGCUUAACAAGGACAGCAAGGACACUCAGGUGACCUCAGAUGAUUCUGAAACCUGGGAAAAAGACUCCACAAGCCCAGGCCAUAUGAUCAUGAGAUGCAUCUCCUGACUGCCUCUGACUGUUCACAAAAAGCUGGCCAAGGACAUUCCAGCUAUGCUAGGCCACCAGGCCAAGUUCCCAGGGACAGCAAUCCACCGCCGCUCUCCCCCCAUCACACCCAAGGGAAGCACAUAAAGUAGGCCUGCAUCCAUGGCCUGGCAGACACCUGCCCCUGGCCCUCUGGGACAGUGCACUGUGUCAGCUGCCAGCAAAACAACAAGCACCUUUGCAAUGGGCCAGUGGGCAGGGCUGCCAUUGGCAGAGUCCUGGUGAUUUAUGACACCCAGGCUCAGUGCACCAUCCGGGAGUUUCCAGGUAGAAUCUCCAGCUUCACCGGGCAAGGGUUCUCCCUUCCAGUGAUUUAUGGAGCCAGAGUGAGCCAGUUGUUUUUUUCCCUUCCCCUCCAUCUCCCUCCUUCUCCAGGACAAUUGGGUUUCACAUUGCUGUGGGCACUCUGGUCUGCAAUGACAAGACAAAGAGGUUCCACUUGUCCCUCUGCCCCCUGCACCUGCUGUCAGGGAUGAUGGUUAUCGGUCAGCAGCCACCUCCAUUUCACUGGCACUUUUAGCUCUUUAUGUGGUGCCUGGGUCACAGCACCAGCCGCAGGGCUCUCUCGAUGGCUUUGCUGGCUGCCCAGAUAUACUGCUCAUCUAGAAUAGACCUGACUCCAAACUACAAGGUCAAACGUUCUUCUCCUGACCUACCUUCCCUCCUUCCUU